Molecule: ribosomal RNA, 253 nt
Filed under: uncultured bacterium
Lineage: Bacteria
Description: partial 16S ribosomal RNA
Rfam family: Bacterial small subunit ribosomal RNA
Source: RNAcentral
UACGAAGGGUGCAAACGUUGCUCGGAAUUAUUGGGCGUAAAGCGCACGUAGGCGGCUUUGCAAGUCUCAUGUGAAAGCCCACGGCUUAACCGUGGAAGUGCAUGGGAAACUGCAGAGCUUGAGUACUUAAGAGGAUCGCGGAAUUCCCGGUGUAGAGGUGAAAUUCGUAGAUAUCGGGAGGAACACCAGUGGCGAAGGCGGCGAUCUGGGAAGAUACUGACGCUGAGGUGCGAAAGCGUGGGGAGCAAACAGG